Molecule: ribosomal RNA, 253 nt
Filed under: uncultured bacterium
Lineage: Bacteria
Description: partial 16S ribosomal RNA
Rfam family: Bacterial small subunit ribosomal RNA
Source: RNAcentral
UACGUAGGGGGCGAGCGUUGUCCGGAUUCAUUGGGCGUAAAGAGCUCGUAGGCGGUUUGGCAAGUCGGGUGUGAAAUCCCACGGCUUAACCGUGGAACUGCCUGUCAGACUGCAUGGCUUGAGACCAGGAGAGGUGAGUGGAAUUCCCAGUGUAGCGGUGAAAUGCGUAGAUAUUGGGAGGAACACCAGUGGCGAAGGCGGCUCACUGGACUGGUACUGACGCUGAGGCGCGAAAGCGUGGGGAGCAAACAGG